UUCAAAAUACAGGAGCUCUGUUGCUCAAAAUCCUGUUCAAGAAUAAUCACCCUGAUGGCAAACCUCUGGUCAACAGAUCUUCUUUACUUGAGAUCCUUACAAAUUUCCUAAGGAGGCCUGUCACAGCUAAACAGCUGAAAAACCUUCUAUUUCGUCUGCACCUCUCUGACCGAGUGCUUAUCAGUUUUGAGGAGUUUUAUGGUGCCCUGAAAGACCCAGACUCCAAUAAAAG
Molecule: long non-coding RNA, 232 nt
Organism: Sinocyclocheilus rhinocerous
Lineage: Eukaryota; Metazoa; Chordata; Actinopteri; Cypriniformes; Cyprinidae
Exons: 3
Source: RefSeq, a predicted model, not a curated record